AAUUUUGGACAAUGGGGGAAACCCUGAUCUAGCCAUCCCGCGUGUAGGAUGAAGGUCUNGGGGUUNUNAUGUACCUUUGGCAGAGNAGAAAAGGUAUUCCCUAAUACGGGAUACUGCUGACGGUCUCUGCAGAAUAAGCACCGGCUAACUACGUGCCAGCAGCCGCGGUAAUACGUAGGGUGCAAGCGUUAAUCGGAAUUACUGGGCGUAAAGCGAGUGUAGGCGGUUCGGAAGGAAAGGUGUGAAAUCCCAGGGCUCAACCUUGGAACUGCAUUUUUAACUGACGAGCUAGAGUAUGUCAGAGGGGGGUAGAAGUCCACGUGUAGGAGUGAAAUGCGUAGAUAUGUGGAGGAAUACCGAUGGCGAAGGCAGCCCCCUGGGAUAAUACUGACGCUCAGACACGAAAGCGUGGGGAGCAAACAGG
Molecule: ribosomal RNA, 424 nt
Filed under: uncultured bacterium
Lineage: Bacteria
Description: partial 16S ribosomal RNA
Rfam family: Bacterial small subunit ribosomal RNA
Source: RNAcentral